AAGUAUCCCGCCUGGGGAGUACGCACGCAAGUGUGAAACUCAAAGGAAUUGACGGGGGCCCGCACAAGCGGUGGAGUAUGUGGUUUAAUUCGAUGCAACGCGAAGAACCUUACCAGGGCUUGACAUCCCCCGAAUCCUCUUGAAAGGGAGGAGUGCCUUCGGGAGCGGGGAGACAGGUGGUGCAUGGCUGUCGUCAGCUCGUGUCGUGAGAUGUUGGGUUAAGUCCCGCAACGAGCGCAACCCACGUCCUUAGUUGCCAUCAUUAAGUUGGGCACUCUGGGGAGACUGCCGGGGACAACUCGGAGGAAGGUGUGGAUGACGUCAAGUCAUCAUGCCCCUUACGUUCUGGGCUACACACGUACUACAAUGCUUCGGACAAAGGGCAGCCAGCCGGCGACGGUGAGCUAAUCCCAUAAACCGAGGCACAGUUCAGAUUGCAGGCUGCAACUCGCCUGCAUGAAGGAGGAAUCGCUAGUAAUCGCAGGUCAGCAUACUGCGGUGAAUACGUUCCCGGGCCUUGUACACACCGCCCGUCACACCAUGGGAGUUGGCCACGCCCGAAGUCGUUACUCUAACCUUAGGGAGGAGGGCGCCGAAGGCAGGGCUGAUGACUGGGGUGAAGUCGUAACAAGGUAGCCGUACCGGAAGGUGUGGCUGGAUCACCUCCUUUUUAGGGAGA
RNAcentral lists this ribosomal RNA (679 nucleotides) under Candidatus Altarchaeales archaeon. RNAcentral's name for it is "bacterial SSU rRNA". It matches the Rfam family "Bacterial small subunit ribosomal RNA", at positions 862 to 1533 of the family's 1533-position model. The record is from RNAcentral. Lineage: Archaea; Nanobdellati; Candidatus Altarchaeota; Candidatus Altarchaeia; Candidatus Altarchaeales.